RNAcentral lists this ribosomal RNA (481 nucleotides) under Boophis madagascariensis (Madagascar bright-eyed frog). RNAcentral describes it as "partial 16S ribosomal RNA". It matches the Rfam family "Bacterial large subunit ribosomal RNA", at positions 1922 to 2569 of the family's 2925-position model. The record is from RNAcentral. Lineage: Eukaryota; Metazoa; Chordata; Amphibia; Anura; Mantellidae.
AUUUAACGGCCGCGGUACCCUAACCGUGCGAAGGUAGCAUAAUCACUUGUUCUUUAAAUGAGGACUCGUAUCAACGGCAUCACGAGGAUCCUACUGUCUCCCCCCUCUAAUCGGUGAAACUGAUCUCUCCGUGAAGAAGCGGAGAUGUACAUAUAAGACGAGAAGACCCCAUGGAGCUUUAAACCCAACAACACCCGCCCCCCUCCAAAUCCUAUUAUUUACCCGGUGACUGUUUGUUUGGUUUUAGGUUGGGGUGACCGCGGAGUAUAAGAUAUCCUCCAUGAAAAAAAGCUAACUGCCCUUAUUAGAGAAAGACACUUCCAAAAAAUAAUAAAUUAAUUUUAAAUGAUCCGACAUUCGAUCAACGAACCAAGUUACCCUGGGGAUAACAGCGCAAUCCGCCCCGAGAGCCCCUAUCGACAGGCGGGUUUACGACCUCGAUGUUGGAUCAGGGUAUCCCAGUGGUGCAGCAGCUACUAAA